This is a long non-coding RNA of Drosophila serrata, 243 nucleotides long. RefSeq lists it as uncharacterized. The record is from RefSeq and is a predicted model, not a curated record. NCBI's taxonomy places the organism in Eukaryota, Metazoa, Arthropoda, Insecta, Diptera, Drosophilidae.
AGCCCCAACAUAUUUCAUUCUACAUCUAACCUUUGAAUUGGAAGUGUCUCCUGAAAUUUCAUAGUAUUAUUUUAUAUUUGGAAAAUUUUAACCUUUGGCCAUAAAAAAGUAAAACAAAGCGAUAAAAAAAGUAAAAAGUUCUCAAACCAAUCCAAAUCAUGGACCGCGCCGGGUAAUCUUUUACUCUGGUUGUGGUCCAAGACUUUCAGUGAUGAACAGGAGCCUGGCGAGCAGGAAUCCGAG